CAGAGUUCCAAAAAUGUAACACAAGAAACAGUAAAGGGCCCUGGACUCAAACUCCCUCUGUGCAAGUCCUGGCUGUGUUUCUUGCUACCGGCGUAAUGGUAGUGCUAUUUAAGCAGCAGUGCAUGUCUCCUCACAUUUGAAAAUAUUGAUUGGGUCUUGAAGACAGAAUAACAAGCGCCAGAACUCAAGCAUUUUGCCAGGAGUGGUGCUGCCUCAUCAGUACUUCAGAUCCAGGCAGGGAAACUGUCAGCAGAACUGCUCCAAAGUCUGCUUUGUGAAAUGCACAUAAGCGGUCUCCCAGACCCACUUUCCAUCCUUCUCCUUUCUGAGGAGGAGGUGGUUAGAAAAAAAAGAAGAAGACAACAAAAGAGUAGAUGAGAGAGAUGUGGCAAAAGAAGAGGCAGAAGAGAAGAGGCAAGAGAAGGAUUCUCCCACCCAUUGCUGUCUUUAGAGAUGCAGGCUAUGAGCCAAAAAGCACAGAUAGCUCCGGAAGCUGAGGACAAGCCACACUGCCCACACUCCCGCAACUGCCCAGAACUGAAUUUUGCCAAUUACCUGCAUAAAUCAGAAAAUGGAUGCUCACUAGAGUCUCCAGAAGGGAGCCUGGCUUGCUGACACCUAGAUUUUUGUCUUGUGAGACUGAUCAGAGGAAUUAUCCCAGCACACUUGACUUCUGAAAUUGUGAUAUAUCUAUGCCUGCAGAAACCCAUGACAUGCAGAAACUAUGAGUUAAUAAAUGAAUGUUGUUUUAAGC
RNAcentral lists this long non-coding RNA (754 nucleotides) under Homo sapiens (human). Its description in RNAcentral is "long non-coding RNA NONHSAT199121.1". Lineage: Eukaryota; Metazoa; Chordata; Mammalia; Primates; Hominidae. The record is from RNAcentral.